UACAGAGGUCCCGAGCGUUGUUCGGAUUCACUGGGCGUAAAGGGUGCGUAGGCGGUUGGAUAAGUCUGAUGUGAAAUCUUCGAGCUCAACUCGGAAACUGCAUCGGAAACUAUCCGGCUAGAGGAUUGGAGGGGAGACUGGAAUUCUCGGUGUAGCAGUGAAAUGCGUAGAUAUCGAGAGGAACACCAGUGGCGAAGGCGAGUCUCUGGACAAUUCCUGACGCUGAGGCACGAAAGCUAGGGGAGCAAACAGG
RNAcentral lists this ribosomal RNA (253 nucleotides) under uncultured bacterium. RNAcentral describes it as "partial 16S ribosomal RNA". It matches the Rfam family "Bacterial small subunit ribosomal RNA", at positions 524 to 776 of the family's 1533-position model. The record is from RNAcentral.